RNAcentral lists this ribosomal RNA (464 nucleotides) under uncultured bacterium. Its description in RNAcentral is "partial 16S ribosomal RNA". It matches the Rfam family "Bacterial small subunit ribosomal RNA", at positions 339 to 795 of the family's 1533-position model. The record is from RNAcentral.
CUACGGGGCGCAGCAGUGGGGAAUAUUGCACAAUGGGCGCAAGCCUGAUGCAGCCAUGCCGCGUGUAUGAAGAAGGCCUUCGGGUUGUAAAGUACUUUCAGCGGGGAGGAAGGGAGUAAAGUUAAUACCUUUGCUCAUUGACGUUACCCGCAGAAGAAGCACCGGCUAACUCCGUGCCAGCAGCCGCGGUAAUACGGAGGGUGCAAGCGUUAAUCGGAAUUACUGGGCGUAAAGCGCACGCAGGCGGUUUGUUAAGUCAGAGGUGAAAUCCCCGGGCUCAACCUGGGAACUGCAUCUGAUACUGGCAAGCUUGAGUCUCGUAGAGGGGGGUAGAAUUCCAGGUGUAGCGGUGAAAUGCGUAGAGAUCUGGAGGAAUACCGGUGGCGAAGGCGGCCCCCUGGACGAAGACUGACGCUCAGGUGCGAAAGCGUGGGGAGCAAACAGGAUUAGAUACCCCCGUAGUC